Homo sapiens (human) is the source of this 1852-nucleotide long non-coding RNA. Ensembl annotates it as BDNF antisense RNA. Its record names the gene BDNF-AS. The record is from Ensembl. NCBI's taxonomy places the organism in Eukaryota, Metazoa, Chordata, Mammalia, Primates, Hominidae.
ACCGGCUAGUAUCGCGAGAUCAGGAAGGUGGCCGAGUGUGUCGCCGCGGCCAUCAGGCACUUCUCCUUCCUGCCCUUGUAUGAAGAAGGAUGUGUUUGCUUCCCCUUGUGCCAUGAUUGUAAAUUUCCUGAGGCCUCCUCAGCCCUGCAGAACUGGCUAGAGCAAUGUAUCUUAGGCUCACUUAAGGAAGCUGUAGAGAUGAGCCCAAGGAGGGAAACCAGAAGAGCCCCCCAGGCUCACCAGUUGUUUGUUGGCUCCCUACAAACAUGUCAUUCAAGUGGCUAAUCUUACAACAGCACAAAUUCAUCUAACCAGCAGAAAGAGAAGAGGAGGCUCCAAAGGCACUUGACUACUGAGCAUCACCCUGGACGUGUACAAGUCUGCGUCCUUAUUGUUUUCUUCAUUGGGCCGAACUUUCUGGUCCUCAUCCAACAGCUCUUCUAUCACGUGUUCGAAAGUGUCAGCCAAUGAUGUCAAGCCUCUUGAACCUGCCUUGGGCCCAUUCACGCUCUCCAGAGUCCCAUGGGUCCGCACACCUGGAGAUACUCUAUUAUAGCAAAGAAGAAAGAUAAUUUCAUUGAGCCAUCCUGUUUUACAGGAAAUUCUGCAAGUGGCAACGUGGGUCCAUUCCGUGUGUGUCACUAGAGCUGGCGCAAGCCCAUGGCCAUGGUGAGGCAGCGUUUCCACUGGAACUAAUCUGAUACCUGCACCAGCUCUUGCAACUGUGCAGUGUUCCCACUGCAAACUACGGAUGGGAAUGUCUGCAAUAUCUGCUGGCUUUAUGUUUCAUAUGAUAAGCAUAUCGUCUGUGCCUUCAGACACAUUAUCAGCCAACAUGUCGGUGCUGGAUGUAUUUUCCCAAUGUUGCAUAAGAGGAAUACCUUCGAGAGUUUGGCCUAGGAAUGUGGCCUGGGACUCCGCCAAGCAUCUCUCUCCAGCAAAAUGACUGCAAAUUUCUCGACCUUCAGAUUCUACAUGAUGUAAAAGAAGUUUGUCUGUGUUUAAAAACACAUUCAAGAAAUAAGUGAACAUGUGAAAAGACAGAAAAACUUGUUUUAAUUUGGGCAUAGUUUCAGUUUUCAAAGGCACAUGAAGGCAGAAAGAAAGAAUCACAAAAUGGAACUACUGAUGAUAGCAACUCCAAAACCAAGACUGAUUAGACUAAAUCCCAUGUGGCAAAAAUUUUAUUUAGUAAGUUUCCUUCUCCCUCUCUCCCUUUAGAUAUAUGUGCAUACACACACACGCACCUUUAUUUUAGUAAUUUUUUUUUUCUGAAAAAGAAAGUUUUCUGCACCUGAUUGCUUCCAUGAAUAACACAAAGCACAAACAAUAUGACUUUCUUUGGUUAUCAUGCAAUUUUUUCUCUGCUUACCAGAAAUUGGCACAAAUUUAAGAUAUACUAUAUUCUACUCCCUGAAGCACAGUCGCUGGCAUCUCCACUGGCAUUUAAAAAUUUGAAGACAUUUAAAAGAAAAUCCACAAGCUUAUAGUUGCUGUCUAAAUCAACUUUAACAUUUCAUAUAUUCACAAUUUCAUAAGUGAAUCAAAUUACACAUAAGAAAUUAUAGAACUAAGCCAACUAAAUGACUUUUAUAAUAGGUACUGGGGAAAAAUAUUAUUAAACCUUUUCCUCCAAUUUCUGCCUUUCUUCCAGCAAGACAAACCAUUUUCAUGAAGUUUCUGUCUACAUCACUAGUGAUAAUCUGAAGCAGCCAUUAAUCAAUCUAUUAGUGCAUUCAGCAACAUUUAUCAAAGUGCCUCCCCAGAACUGUUUUGGAUGCUGUUGUGGGCGCAUGCAAAAAUGAACUAAAUAUAGAUUUUUGUCAUCCAAGAAUUUUAAGUCAAUUUGUAA